This 436-nucleotide ribosomal RNA is filed under the name Vibrio sp. PASRS100. RNAcentral's name for it is "bacterial SSU rRNA". It matches the Rfam family "Bacterial small subunit ribosomal RNA", at positions 59 to 479 of the family's 1533-position model. The record is from RNAcentral. Lineage: Bacteria; Pseudomonadati; Pseudomonadota; Gammaproteobacteria; Vibrionales; Vibrionaceae.
GUAGCGGAACGAGUUAUCUGAACCUUCGGGGAACGAUAACGGCGAGCUGCGGCGGACGGGUGAGUAAUGCCUAGGAAAUUGCCCUGAUGUGGGGGAUAACCAUUGGAAACGAUGGCUAAUACCGCAUAAUGCCUACGGGCCAAAGAGGGGGACCUUCGGGCCUCUCGCGUCAGGAUCGUACUAGGUGGGAUUAGCUAGUUGGUGAGGUAAGGGCUCACCAAGGCGACGAUCCCUAGCUGGUCUGAGAGGAUGAUCAGCCACACUGGAACUGAGACACGGUCCAGACUCCUACGGGAGGCAGCAGUGGGGAAUAUUGCACAAUGGGCGCAAGCAGUCUGCAGCCAUGCCGCGUGUGUGAAGAAGGCCUUCGGGUUGUAAAGCACUUUCAGUCGUGAGGAAGGUAGUGUAGUUAAUAGCUGCAUUAUUUGACGUUAGC